RNAcentral lists this ribosomal RNA (567 nucleotides) under uncultured archaeon. RNAcentral describes it as "bacterial SSU rRNA". It matches the Rfam family "Archaeal small subunit ribosomal RNA", at positions 326 to 897 of the family's 1478-position model. The record is from RNAcentral.
CGGGGUGCAGCAGGCGCGAAAACUCUACAAUGCAGGCAACUGCGAUAGGGGAACAUCGAGUGAUCCUCAUAUUGGGGGUCUGUCCCACCGUCUAAAAAACGGUGGUUAGCAAGGGCCGGGCAAGACCGGUGCCAGCCGCCGCGGUAAUACCGGCGGCUCGAGUGGUGGCCGAUAUUAUUGAGUCUAAAGGGUCCGUAGCCGGCUUUGCAAGUCUCUCGGGAAAUCCAGCGGCUUAACCGUUGGUCGUCCGGGGGGUACUACAUUGCUUGGGACUGGGAGAGGUAGGAGGUACUCAGGGGGUAGGAGUGAAAUCCUGUAAUCCUCUGGGGACCACCGGUGGCGAAGGCGUCCUACCAGAACAGGUCCGACGGUGAGGGACGAAAGCUAGGGGCACGAACCGGAUUAGAUACCCGGGUAGUCCUAGCCGUAAACGAUGCUCGCUAGGUGUCACAACAGUCGUGAACUGUUGUGGUGCCGUAGGGAAGCCGUGAAGCGAGCCACUUGGGAAGUACGACCGCAAGGUUGAAACUUAAAGGAAUUGGCGGGGGAGCACAAGGGCGAUUCGCG